UGGUUUUGAUGGAGCUUGUAAUUCUUGUCCCAUGUUCUUUGUUACUCAUUGCUUUAAUCAAGUUCCUUUAUGAUUACUUGUGGGUGCCUCUUAGUAUACAGCAUAUGCUGAAUUCUCAGGGAAUCAAAGGACCUCCUUACAGAUUCAUCCAUGGCAACAACAAGGAAAUUAUCAAAAUGAGAAAGGAAGCUAUGAGCAAACCCAAGGCCUUGACUCAUGAUAUAUUUGCCAAAACGCAGCCACAUAUGUACUCCUGGAUCAAAAAAUAUGGUAAGAUGGAUGCAUGUUUUUCACUAUGAUAUAUAAACUUGUAGUUUUAAGUAAGAAAAAGGAUCGACCCUUUUGUCUUUUAUAUGAUUAGGGAAGAAUUUUGUUUAUUGGAACGGUAUUCGAGCUGAAGUGGUGAUUUCAGAACCUGAACUAGUCAAAGAGGUUCUGAAAAAUAGUGAAAAUGUCUUUCCAAAAGCGAAGCCAUCAUUUUAUGUUAGCAAGCUACUGGGGAACGGGCUUGCGACAAUCGAUGGUGAAAAAUGGGUGAAGCAUCGGAAGUUGACGAAUUACGCUUUUCAUGGGGAAAGCUUAAAGGUAAAGUCUUGAAAUAUAUCAGUUUAGUAGAAUUAUUCAUGUACAAUGAAAAUAUUUCGGCAAAUUUUAUGUUGUUUCUUACAUAUUCGGGAAAUGUUUGGGUAGAACAUGACACCGGCAAUAAUUGCUAGCGUUGAAACAAUGCUAAAAAGGUGGAAAGGCAAAGAAGGCAAAGAGAUUGAAGUGUAUCAAGAAUUUAGAUUAUUGACUUCAGAAGUGAUAUCCAGAACAGCUUUUGGUAGCAAUUACUUGGAAGGGGAGAAGAUUUUUGCCAUGUUGAACAAGUUAUCAAUAAUUAUGGGCCGAAAUCUUUUUAAUACUAAAAUUCCUUUGAUCAGGUAUUUUCCCCCCUAAGCUUAAUUAAUCCCAAAUUUUGCCUUGAUUUGAACUAGCUUUUGAAUGCAAAUUUUAGAUUUUCAUUCCCCAUGGAUUUGGUUUUCUUCUUAUAUAUGGCUGACCUUGGUUUGCUUUUACAGCAAGUUAUGGAAACCUGCUGAUUUGCUAGAGUCUGAAGAACUUGCAAAAGAAAUAAAAGAUUGUGUGAUUAAGAUUGUCAGGAAAAGAGAAGAUAAAGCUGUAAAUGGAGAAGUUGAUAGCUUCGACAAUAAUUUUCUAGGAUUACUUAUAAAUGCCUAUCAUGAUUCGGAUGAAAAUAACAGGCUUUCAUUGGAAGACUUGGUAGAUGAGUGCAAAACAUUUUACUGGACCGGACACGACACUGUUAAUGCCUUGCUUGCUUGGGUUCUUUUGCUUUUAGCAAUCCAUGGAGAUUGGCAAGAGAAAGCAAGAAGAGAGGUGAUUGACAUAUUUGGUAACCAAAAUCCACAUCCUGAAAGCAUUGCAAAACUCAAAACUGUAAGUAAACUGUCAACCAUUCCACAAUAUAUAGUGUAGUCCAAGAAUUUAAUUCUCAAUCGCCAAGGCUUUUCAGUCACGUCAUCUUCAUCGUAAUUGCCAACCUAACAAAUAUUAUCGCGUUGUGACUAUUAUUUAAAUCCUGGUCUAUACUACUACGCAUUUAGUACAUUAUAUUCUUUAAAGUAAUAUGCUAUAUUCUACAGAUGACCAUGAUCAUAUAUGAAACUCUAAGAUUGUACGGUGCCACAAAUGGCCUGCCAAGAAAAGUUGCAAGAGAAGUUCAGGUAGGAAAGCUAGUCAUGCCAGCUAAUAUAGAUCUUCUUAUUGCGAGGGCUGCACUUCACCAUGACCCCCAACUAUGGGGAGAUGAUGUGCAUCUUUUCAAACCAGAGAGAUUUGCAGAAGGGAUUGCCAAAGCUACUAAUUACAAUGCAGCCGCAUUUUUCCCAUUUGGACUGGGACCUCGAUUUUGUGUUGGUAUGACCUUUGCAACCAUAGAAACCAAAAUUGCUCUCUCCAUGAUUCUACAACGCUACACCAUUAGUCUCUCCCCCGCCUAUGUACACUCACCAAUACCUAUUUUAACCCUUCAUCCAGAACAUGGAAUUCAAGUGAUACUUGAGUCACUGCAUAAUGAUGCUUAAAGUACACAACUGCUAAGAACUUGAAGUUUAACUUGGUUUGUGUAUUCACCUUUAAGAGAUGACGUAUAAUAUGUUUAAGGUUCUAGCAUUUGCAACCCAUUCAUUAUUCCCAAUCUCUUCCCUCCUUUAUGCAAAAGGAAAUGCAUGCAAAUGCUAUUCACCAAAAUGGUAAAACAUGCAAUCAAUAAACAAAGAAUGCAUUAUGUUUCUAGUAUUGUUGAUCAAUUUAUGGUCUACUAACAAUGUCUUCCUUGUGUAAAAGAUUUCAUGCAAGAACUUAACAAGAUUAUCCUCUUAUUGCUCUAAUAAAAUAUCAUGGGUGCCAAAUCUAAUAAAAAUAAGUAUAUGAUUCAAAAAAAAAAUGUAGAUAGCAAUGAACAUGGUCAAAUUAAUCCAUAAUGAUUAGUAAAAAAUCAUUUUUUUCAAUAAAACAAAGUAAAAAAAAAAAGAAAGAAAGAGAUUUUGAAGUUAGAAUCAAAUUUAAAAGUUAGAUUAUGAAAAGCCAAAUUAGAAAUGAAGUUUCAAAUCAAUAUAAUGAAAACUUAGUCAAAGGUAAAAUAUCACUUUAGAUUCAUGAGUCUAAUAAUUGAUGCAAAGAUAAAAUUUAAUAUUCUUUGAUAAAUUGGUUAUAGUUGUUGACAAAUUCAUAGAAACCAAUCUUUUCUUACCUUCUUGAUAAUCAAGAUGAACACUAUUGAUUCCUUUAUCGAUAAAUAAUCAUAUAACGCAUUUCAGAAGUUUAAUUUAUUAGUAGCAUUAAAAACUAAAGAGACUCGCUUCUAGUCAACAAACACAUAAAUAAAGUUCAUUUAAAUUAGAUUAUAUAUCCAGAUAAUAAUAAAUUGCAUAUUUCAACACCCGCACACAACCAUGUUAAGCUAUCAAAUGCGAGCUCGAGCUCGAGCUCUAUGUAUAACAAGACGUUAAAAAGAAUUAGCUAGUGUCAAGAGAAAAGCACAAAAAUGUACGAAAAUAAAAACAUGAAAAAGAUCUCUCUAAGUCCAUGCCAAAAUAUUCUAUUUUUAAAUGACCUAAUCAAGGUUUCAAUUCAUGCUUGGACGCGAAGUAUUCUAAACAUUGAAAAAAAAAAAAGACGAGAAAGGGUCAAAAAUGGCCAAGGCAUCUAGCACCGCACACUGCAGCGGACCUUGUUAUUCUAUCUACAGUCACACCUACAUUUACUUUACCCAGCUCUCUUCUGUGGCAAAGCACCACCAUGUUUAAGGGAUACAACAAACCACCUUAAUUUUUACUAAUAUAUCAAACAAAAUCAAUAUUUAUUUACUAUCAAACAAAAUAAUUUUAUGUAAUAUUUAAUUUUUAUUAAUAUAUCAAAUAGUUUUAUAAUAUAAAUUCAAUACUUAAAUUUUUAAUUUAUUAAACACAUGAGAUAAAAUAUUUUUCCAUUAUUUAUGUGUUAAUUAAAUUAAAUUCAUUAGAGAUAAAAUUAAAGGUUAACAAAACUUGAUUUGAUUUGAAAAAAAAUAUUUUUAAUUUCGAGUUAACCAAUAAUUUUUUAUUCAACUAGAACAACUGAUCUGGUUUUUGAGUUUGAGUCGAGUUUAAUUCUAUAAAUCGAAUCAUUCGAAAAACUCAAGUAACAUAUUGAUAUAAAUAUCCUUUAGGUCCUUAUAAUUUUAAAAAUUGGUCCCUCUAACAAAUUACAAAAUAAUUUUAUUUAUUUUCAUAAAUUUAUAAAAAUAUGUAAAAAAAUAAAAAACAUAUAUUAAAAUUCUUUAAAAAACAUAAAAUAGUAUAAAAAUGUUAAAUUAUAUUUUUUAUUUUUUUUCAAAAUGAUAAAAUUGAGACUUUAAACAACUACACUAUCAAAUCAAGUUUAUCAUACUAAUUAUCUUUGUUUUUUUUUUUUUUGUUGGCAUUAGUUUACUUUAAAAUAGUUUUCAAAAUACAUGAGGUAUACAUUUAGCUUCUAUAUCUUGGAAUUUAGUUAUAUUGUCUACAAGUUUUCAAUAUCAUCGGUUUAAAUUUUUUUUUUAAAGUUAAACUCAAACAAAUUUAUUCAACUCAACUCAAAUUUCAUUUCACUUGUCUUCAUUUGAAAAUUUAAAUCAAGUUAAGAUGAUAAAAUAGAACUCAUUAACUUGACUAAUUCAAAAAAAAAAAUUACUUGAUUUGGUUUAAUUCGAUCGAAUGCUUAUCCCUAAAUAAAAUAAUCUUUAUUAUGAUUAAAGAGGUUUUAAAAGGAUUUAAUUUAUUAACUUACCUCUUUUUUAAUUAAUUUAAUUUAAAGUAAAAAAAAUUCCAUAUGAUGUAUUUUUAUUCCUCCAAAAUUUUCUUCAUCUACAUAUUAGACUUGAAGCACUAAUUUUUUAGAGCUUAUGAAACAACUAUCAACUCUAAUAAUAAAAUUCAAUAAAACAUUAUAGAUUUAUCGCACACCGAUAAUAUGGAUAAAAUGAUUUAUAUAAUAAAUAUAUUUAUUAAGUGUUUUUACAUAAAAAUUAAUUGAUGUUUUAGUUACAAUGGUAAAGUCAUUAAUUUAUAUAUAUGGAAAAUGAAAAAAUAAAAAAAUUUAAUUUAAAUAUGUCUAGUUAAUCGGUGGCACGGUAAAAAACUUGAUAUAAGUAUAGAUAGAUAAAAAAAACAUAAAUAUAAUAGUGACAAAUAUUAUAAUGAUGGAAUAUAUACAUUAUUGUUAAUAUUCGUCCUUUGUACGCACUUCCCAAACAUAAAGAUUCCCUCCAUAAAUUGUUCAUGUGUUGCAAAGGGACAAAAGAUGAAGGCCAUUAUUAAAUGGAAGAACGAGGAGUAACAUACGAAGCAAUUUUACUUUGCCAUUGAUUAUAACACUAUAAUAAUCACUCUUUAUUAGUUGUAAGGCGUAAUAGACACUGAUGCUUUAACUUAAAAUAAUAUGUCUGACAUAUACUUCCAACUAAUCUUCACGUUGUUCCAAGGAUCCAAAAGGAAAGACGACAGUAAUAUCACAUUAAAUUAUCAUUUAAGUCCUUGUCCAAUAUGGAAAUCACAAUACAAAUAUUAAAGGAACAUCUGGAUUCAGUGUUAAGAGAAGAAAAUUUGAGUGGUUUUGAUGGAGCUUGUAAUUCUUGUCCCAUGUUCUUUGUUCCUCAUAGCUUUAAUCAAGUUCCUUUAUGAUUACUUGUGGGUGCCUCUUAGUUUACAGCAUAUGCUGAAUUCUCAGGGAAUCAAAGGACCUCCUUACAGAUUCAUCCAUGGCAACAACAAGGAAAUUAUCAAAAUGAGAAAGGAAGCUAUGAACAAACCUAAGGCCUUGACGCAUGAUAUGUUUCCCAAAUUGCAGCCACAUAUGCACUCCUGGAUCAAAGAAUAUGGUAAGA
RNAcentral lists this long non-coding RNA (5407 nucleotides) under Gossypium raimondii (Peruvian cotton). RNAcentral describes it as "long non-coding RNA (GRAI_LNC003404)". Lineage: Eukaryota; Viridiplantae; Streptophyta; Magnoliopsida; Malvales; Malvaceae. The record is from RNAcentral.